AAUCAUGUGAUCUCUCUCCUCUCUGUGCGCUGGUCAGUCAAAGACCAAGGAUGUGAAUGGCCAGUGUUCACAUGAAAGACACACAAGUGGGCCAAUCAUGUGAUCUCUCUUCUCUCUAUGGGCCGAACAAGAAACAAUAACAAUAAAGCUUUC
This is a long non-coding RNA of Sander lucioperca (pikeperch), 153 nucleotides long. RefSeq lists it as uncharacterized. NCBI's taxonomy places the organism in Eukaryota, Metazoa, Chordata, Actinopteri, Perciformes, Percidae. The record is from RefSeq and is a predicted model, not a curated record. The transcript has 4 exons.